Molecule: ribosomal RNA, 428 nt
Filed under: Phyllomedusa camba group sp. ABGD cluster 10
Lineage: Eukaryota; Metazoa; Chordata; Amphibia; Anura; Hylidae
Description: partial large subunit ribosomal RNA
Rfam family: Bacterial large subunit ribosomal RNA
Source: RNAcentral
CCUGUUUAACCUAUAGGAGGUCCAGCCUGCCCAGUGACUCUGUUUAACGGCCGCGGUAUCCUAACCGUGCGAAGGUAGCGUAAUCACUUGUUCUUUAAAUGAGGACUAGUAUGAAUGGCAUCACGAAGGUUAUACUGUCUCCUUUUCCUAAUCAGUGAAACUAAUCUUCCCGUGAAGAAGCGGGAAUAAACCUAUAAGACGAGAAGACCCUAUGGAGCUUCAAACUUUUCAGCAAUUAUCUUCACUUUUACAAACUUCCCUGAACAAUAAAAUUAAUCCAGAUAACAUGUCUGCAAGUUUUCGGUUGGGGUGACCACGGAGCAAAACUUACCCUCCGCAAUGAAUUAGAAUUCCAUUUCUAAACAAAGAAUUACAAUUCUAUGUAUCAAAAAAUUGACACAAUUGACCCAAUACUUUGAUCAACGAAC